ACCGGAGCCUUGCUCGGGGCUUGGGGCUUGGGGCUUGGGGCUCGGGGCUCGGGGCUCGGGUUCGGGCUCGGGCUCGGGGUCCGGGCGUCGGUACC
Molecule: transfer RNA, 95 nt
Filed under: Streptomyces fructofermentans
Lineage: Bacteria; Bacillati; Actinomycetota; Actinomycetes; Kitasatosporales; Streptomycetaceae
Description: tRNA-Pro
Source: RNAcentral